Long non-coding RNA from Mangifera indica (mango), 490 nucleotides. RefSeq lists it as uncharacterized. Lineage: Eukaryota; Viridiplantae; Streptophyta; Magnoliopsida; Sapindales; Anacardiaceae. The record is from RefSeq and is a predicted model, not a curated record. The transcript has 3 exons.
UUAUUAAGGGCAAUUGUUACAAAAGAAUGGACAAAAAGAGUAAUUAUAAAAAGGUCAAUCGUUAGGAUUUCCCUUUGUGAUUUUUUUUUUUCCUUCUGGAGUUCUUUCAAUCUGCAAUAAACGGAUCGGCUGAGUCAAGGAACCGCCUUCCCGUUCAGACCUUUGGCUUGCUGUGUUUGCCAUCCAUGUCGAAUGCUUUGUCUUAACAGGCUUGCGGAUCAGGAUUAUUGAAGUUUACUGAUUCCAAGUCCUUGGAGAUUGAUCUGAAUCGUGAACAAGUUGAGCAAAUGGCUGGCAGUAAAAGAGGUAAAUCUGCAACUGGAAACACCUCAUGAUCGGUUGCCUUUGCCCAGGGUCAUUAUUUUGGCUAGAUACCAUGCUGCCACAUAGAAAUAAACAAGUCUUCUCAUUGUCCUAUUUAAAUUUAGAUUUUUUUGGAGAAAAAUCUUAGCUCGCCAUUUCUAUCAGAAACCUUUUAUUUGAUGUUAAA